AGAGUUUGAUCCUGGCUCAGAAUCAACGCUGGCGGCGUGCCUCAGACAUGCAAGUCGAACGGUUAAACUUUUCUUCGGGAAAGAUAUAAAGUGGCGCACGGGUGAGUAACACGUAGGUAAUGUACCUUUGGGUGGGGAAUAACUUAGGGAAACUUAAGCUAAUACCGCAUAAUGCGAUAACUUCUUCGGAAGAUUUUGUUAAAGAUUUAUCGCCUAAAGAGCAGCCUGCGGCAGAUUAGCUAGUUGGUAAGGUAACGGCUUACCAAGGCUACGAUCUGUAUCCGACCUGAGAGGGUGGUCGGACACACUGACACUGAAUAACGGGUCAGACUCCUACGGGAGGCAGCAGUCGGGAAUUUUGGGCAAUGGGCGAAAGCCUGACCCAGCAACGCCGCGUGGAGGAUGAAGUCUUUCGGGAUGUAAACUUCGUAAGAAUAGGAAGAAUAAAUGACGGUACUAUUUGUAAGGUCCGGCUAACUACGUGCCAGCAGCCGCGGUAAUACGUAGGGACCAAGCGUUGUUCGGAUUUACUGGGCGUAAAGGGCGCGUAGGCGGCGUGUCAAGUCAAUUGUGAAAUCUCCGAGCUUAACUCGGAACGGUCAAUUGAUACUGAUGUGCUAGAGUGCAGAAGGGGCAAUCGGAAUUCUUGGUGUAGCGGUGAAAUGCGUAGAUAUCAAGAGGAACACCUGAGGUGAAGACGGGUUGCUGGGCUGACACUGACGCUGAGGCGCGAAAGCUAGGGUAGCAAACGGGAUUAGAUACCCCGGUAGUCCUAGCCCUAAACGAUGAAUACUUGGUGUCUGGAGUUUUAAUUCUCCGGGUGCCGUCGCUAACGUUUUUAGUAUUCCGCCUGGGGAGUACGCACGCAAGUGUGAAACUCAAAGGAAUUGACGGGGACCCGCACAAGCGGUGGAGCAUGUGGUUUAAUUCGACGCAACGCGAAGAACCUUACCUGAACUAGAAUGCGAGGGAAGAUUACCUAAUAGUAAUCGUCGGGCAACCGACCCAAAGCAAGGUGCCGCAUGGCUGUCGUCAGCUCGUGUCGGAGAGU
This 1051-nucleotide ribosomal RNA is filed under the name uncultured bacterium. RNAcentral describes it as "bacterial SSU rRNA". It matches the Rfam family "Bacterial small subunit ribosomal RNA", at positions 8 to 1073 of the family's 1533-position model. The record is from RNAcentral.